Non-coding RNA from Pelobates cultripes (western spadefoot toad), 253 nucleotides. NCBI's taxonomy places the organism in Eukaryota, Metazoa, Chordata, Amphibia, Anura, Pelobatidae. The record is from the annotation of a GenBank genome assembly.
CUGUAUUUUGCUACUAUCAUCUUUCCCUCAAGCCUGACCAGACUGGGAGGAGACAUUAUGUGGGUCACAAUGGACAGGACUUUACUCAAUACCUCUAUUCCUCAUGACAGACAGUAGAAUGUAUAUAUUUUUUUAAAUUCUUUUUCUUUGGAGAAUGGGAUUUCAUUUGGGUUCCAUUAGUGUAAUUAUGAAUUGUAGUGACUAUGCCCAUGGCUGGCGCGUCCAUAAGGCGGCACAAUUGGCUGCCAUAGAG